GAAGUUGAGAAAGGACUGUAGGUGGAAGACGAAGUAGGUCACAGGCAGCGUGACACUAUUGACGAUAAUAAUUAUUGGUUUUUUAAUUUUUCUUUUUCAUUUUCAUCUUCAUGCAAAAACAUUACUGAUAAUUCGUGUGAUCCAAACUUUUCCCUUCAGGCUUGGAUCCUCUAGCACUUCCCACGCAUCUCCGGUUGGGCGACUGUUGAGACUUACAUUGAGGAUAUGAUGUGUGUUAUUGCUUUUUC
Molecule: long non-coding RNA, 248 nt
Filed under: Lathyrus oleraceus (garden pea)
Lineage: Eukaryota; Viridiplantae; Streptophyta; Magnoliopsida; Fabales; Fabaceae
Description: Pisum sativum (pea) long non-coding RNA (PSAT_LNC019855)
Source: RNAcentral